UACGAAGGGGGCUAGCGUUGUUCGGAAUUAAUGGGCGUAAAGCGCACAUAGGCGGAUUAGUAAGCCAGGGGUGAAAUCCCGGGGCUCAACCUCGGAACUGCCUUUGAUACUGCUGAUCUCGAGUCCGGAAGAGGUGAGUGGAAUUCCUAGUGUAGAGGUGAAAUUCGUAGAUAUUAGGAAGAACACCAGUGGCGAAGGAGGCUCACUGGUCCGGUACUGACGCUGAGUUGCGAAAGCUUGGGGAGCAAACAGG
This 253-nucleotide ribosomal RNA is filed under the name uncultured bacterium. RNAcentral's name for it is "partial 16S ribosomal RNA". It matches the Rfam family "Bacterial small subunit ribosomal RNA", at positions 524 to 776 of the family's 1533-position model. The record is from RNAcentral.